CCAGCUCCAAAAGCGUAUAUUAAAGUUGUUGCAGUUAAAAAGCUCGUAGUUGAAAUUCUGGCUGUAUUGGGCCUUUGCUUUCAUGCGAAGGAACCAGCAGUCAUCCGCUUGCAAGUACAUGCUCUUCCUUAACCGGUAGACUGUAUAAGUAAGCAUUUUACCUUGAGAAAAACAGAGUGUUCCAGGCAGGUUUGUCCGGAAUGCAUUAGCAUGGAAUAAUAGAAUAUGACUGAGGUCGAUUUAUUGGUUAGAGACUUUAGUAAUGAUUAAUAGGAACAAUCGGGGGCAUUGGUACUUGUCAGUCAGAGGUGAAAUUCUUGGAUUUGACAAAGACUAACUGAUGCGAAAGCGUUUGCCAAGAAUGUUUUCA
RNAcentral lists this ribosomal RNA (370 nucleotides) under Epistylis sp. RNAcentral describes it as "SSU rRNA". It matches the Rfam family "Eukaryotic small subunit ribosomal RNA", at positions 585 to 972 of the family's 1831-position model. Lineage: Eukaryota; Ciliophora; Oligohymenophorea; Sessilida; Epistylidae. RNAcentral also lists the same sequence under 1 other name. The record is from RNAcentral.